RNAcentral lists this long non-coding RNA (602 nucleotides) under Olea europaea subsp. europaea. The record is from RNAcentral. Lineage: Eukaryota; Viridiplantae; Streptophyta; Magnoliopsida; Lamiales; Oleaceae.
AUGGAAUUGAAGAGAAACAUAAAAUGCCCUAACAAAUUUAUUAUGGAUUCCUAAAAUAAUUUCUUUUACUUGGAUACCUGCGCACCACUCAGCCAUCAUCCACGUUGACCAAUCUGACCUGAAAAGUUAAAAUGGAAGAAGUGCGUAAUUUAUAUUCAGUACGAUACGUGCGUCCAAAACAAUUUGAUAACUUUUAAAAUAUGAAUCUAUAACAUUCCAUACCAUCAUUUCAUCAAAAGCAAUCAGUGAUCAAUCGAAAGCUCUAACACAUUUGAGAAGACUCGAAGGCGAUCUCACAUUUCAUUUCAUAGGGACCCGCAAGUCAAUUAGCAUUUCAUGAAAUAAAUCACGUAUAAAAAUCAUAAUAUUGCAACGACAUAUCACUUGCACAUAGUAUCCUACCUCGUUAAUCCACGAAUUUUGAAAGAAGAUCUAAGAAUCACGCUCCAAAUGUUUAUUUUCUGUCCACGCAAUUGUUGCCGUGUAUGUGCAUGCAAUAGAUGUGAUUAAAGAGGCAAAGAGAAUUAUAAUUUUGGUAGAAUAUGAAUAUAAUAGGGGGUUUCUGCUGAACUUAAAGAAUGAAACCAAAACUAAGGAUUGGG